AUGCUUUCGGUGGAGAGCGCUUUCUGCAGAGGGAUUUGGGGUUGCAAACGCCCCUCCUCCACGGCCACCAACAGGCCCCUUUCUUCCUCCUCCCUCACCCCUCCCAGCUCAAACAAAUUAACAUUCGCACUAAGGUACCUCCUAUCAGCUCGCAGCUUCUUCCCAAACACGCCCACGCACCCUGAAACCCGCCUGCGUCUACACCGCACACGGCGGCAGGAAAAGCGCUUCGAGGGGGGCGGGGAGCCGCGGCGGCAGCGCACAGCCCACACAGCAAAGGAAUCCCAGGCGCUGCGGGCAGCUAGCGCGGCGGUGCGGGACCCCCCUCCGUGUCCGCACGCGGCCUCCGCCGCCGCGGCGCCGCUCACCCCGCGCUCCGCGGGCGGUUCGGCCCCGCAACAGGUCACCCGCCUCGGCUCGGUGACGGGGGUGCAGGCGCCCCGGCCGAGAGGGGGUGUGGCUGGCGCGGCGGGGCCCGGCCCCGGCUCACCUGAGAGGCUGAGGCGACGCCGGGGCCUCCGCCACCGCGGGACCGCGAGCGACCCGCAGCCCGCCCUCCCGCGCCGCGCACCGCGGCCGCCGCCGCCAUUGCCCGCGCCUCCCCACACGCCCGCACGCCACGCCGACCUGUGCAGCCGCGGCCGUCGCCUCCGCUUCGCCCGCGGCUCCGAGGCAAUCGCUCGCCCAACCGAGCAGUCGGCGUCUCUCAUUCAGCGCCUGCCGCCGGCGCUCGGGGGAGGGGAGUGCGCUGGAUCCACCCCGGCCGCGCAGGGGGCGCGCGCCGGGCGGGCGGGGCGGAGCGGCGCGCGCACCAACCGAGCGCGCUCGCGCGGCCGGGAACGCCGGGUCGCCGGGGUCUCGGCGCAGUCUGCGGGCGCCGGGCUAUGCCCCCCGAGGCCAACUGCCGCCCCGUACCGGUGUCCGAGGCGCGUGCCCCAGCCGCAGGCGCAGCACCGGCCGCAAGGACGAGCCGCAGGGUUCAGGACGGACAGGUGGGGCCCCGCGGCUGCUCCCCGCACGGGUCUCGUUGGCGCCUGGGACGCGGGCGUUGCUCCCCGCUCGGGCCAGAGGACAAAAGUCUGGAAACGCUUGGCCCCCAGAUCAAAUACCCAGCCCGUGAGGGCGGCGUCCUUAGGAGUCGUGGCGGACAAGUGGAGGGGGACUGCAAAUGUGAAGAGUCACCCCACAGCCGUGGGAUCUUAAAUGAUGGAGUCUGCACUCUAGCACAUCAUCAUGCCGGAAGUGUUGGGUCGGCCUCUAGGUGUUAAGCAGGGUGGCUGCCGGUGGUUUAAGGAGCAAAUAACAAUAUUUGGGAUCCCCUAGUCCCGGAUUGA
Molecule: long non-coding RNA, 1334 nt
Organism: Mus musculus (house mouse)
Lineage: Eukaryota; Metazoa; Chordata; Mammalia; Rodentia; Muridae
Product: RIKEN cDNA 4930439D14 gene
Exons: 2
Source: RefSeq, a predicted model, not a curated record